RNAcentral lists this long non-coding RNA (840 nucleotides) under Solanum tuberosum (potato). RNAcentral's name for it is "long non-coding RNA (STUB_LNC011093)". The record is from RNAcentral. Lineage: Eukaryota; Viridiplantae; Streptophyta; Magnoliopsida; Solanales; Solanaceae.
GGGGAGAAGGAAGCACAAUAAUUUCUUAUUAGAUAUUCAAGAAUAAGUUUAUAUUUUCCCUCUCGUUUGCCCUAACUGGAAUUUUUCUGAAACUCAUAGAAGAUUUAUUUGUGGUGGUGUAUAGCUUCAAGGUUAAGCUCGGCGUCUCAGUUUCGCUUCUUCGAGAAAGGUAAUCUACUCUCUUUUCGGUUCUUCUUUAUUUCUUGCUUGUAUGUUUAGAUUUAGUCUUUUGAAGUUUGAUUUGUAGUUCUUAUUUAUGUCUUCUAUUAGAUUAAAUCUAUUGUUAAAAGUGCUUUGUGAAUUUCUAUUUAAUAUUUGCUCAUACUAUUGCGUCAAUAUUAUGAUUAUGUUCAUAUCGAUUUUUAUUUUUUAUUUUUAUUUUUUUUCUUUUCUCUUUGAUUGUGGGAUCGUCCAAAUGCGUUUGACUUUUCAUGGUUAAUGGAGAGUCUUGUCUGCAUUGGAGUUUGUUGUUUGUUUAUUCUUAUACCUUAGCAUUUAAAUAUAUUUGUAGGCAUUGAAUGAUCUGAGGUUGAAGCAUAUGCUAUGCUAUUGUAUGUUAACUUGGAAUGGUUGUGCUGCCUUAAGACUUGUCACUUUGUUGGUUUCUUUGAAAAGCAUAUUUCUAUAGUAUGAUUUGUAUGGUGCUUGGCCAUUUUUUAUGGUGUAGCAGUAGCCCAUUGCUGAGUUUUAUUUAUUAUAGUUCAAUUAUUUUGGGCUUGAUCAUGAAUAAGCUAGAGUUACAAGGAACACAUAUAUUUUGGUUUGUCAAUGCUAUCCAUUGGUAGUUCAUAACCAAUUAGUUUUCCUUUUUGUCAUAUAUAUAUAUAUAUAUAUAUAUAU